Molecule: long non-coding RNA, 346 nt
Filed under: Ananas comosus (pineapple)
Lineage: Eukaryota; Viridiplantae; Streptophyta; Magnoliopsida; Poales; Bromeliaceae
Description: long non-coding RNA (ACOM_LNC027383)
Source: RNAcentral
UCGCAAAAAAUUAACUCUGAUUAGUGAAUAAGAUAAACUAAUCUUUUUACACCUCUUAUAUUAUUUGUGAUGGUAUAAAAAAAAAAAGAUUACCGUUGAGAAUUUUUCAAAAAAACAUUUCUAUAUAAUUAUAACAGUUGGGGCUUUUGAAGUGAUAUAUUUGUGAUGGCAAUAGUAUCGUUUCACUUAUUUUCUGUUAAAAAAUUAACAAUACUCUAAUGGUAACAAAUCAAAGGGGCAAAUAUAAAUAUCAUUGAAUUUUUGCAUGGAUAAAUAUAAAAAGUUGAACUUUGUAAGGAUAUAUUUGUUAUUUGAUAUGUUUAUAUAGAGAUGUAUAAAAUUAACC